AGGUAAGCUACUAAGAGCGAAUGGUGGAUGCCUUGACUGGUAGAGGCGAUGAAGGACGUACUAGACUGCGAUAAGCUAGGUGGAGCUGUCAAGAAGCUUUGAUGCCUAGAUUUCCGAAUGGGGCAACCCAGUAUAUAGAGAUAUAUACUACCAUAAUGGAGCGAACGAGGGGAAUUGAAACAUCUUAGUACCCUCAGGAAAAGAAAUCAAACGAGAUUGCGUCAGUAGCGGCGAGCGAAAGCGUAAGAGGGCAAACCCAGUGCUUGCACUGGGGGUUGUAGGACUGCAAUGUGCAAGAGGAAAGGUUAGCAGAACACUCUGGAAAGUGUAGCCAUAGAGGGUGAUAGUCCCGUAUGCAAAAACCUAACCUUAGCUAGCAGUAUCCUGAGUAGGGCGGGACACGAGAAAUCCUGUCUGAAGCUGGGUAGACCACUAUCCAACCCUAAAUACUACUACCAGAUCGAUAGCGAACAAGUACCGUGAGGGAAAGGUGAAAAGAACGGCGGUGAGCCGAGUGAAAUAGAACCUGAAACCAUUUGCUUACAAUCAUUCAGAGCACUAUGUAGCAAUACAGUGUGAUGGACUGCCUUUUGCAUAAUGAGCCUGCGAGUUGUGGUGUCUGGCAAGGUUAAGCUAACGCGAAGCCGUAGCGAAAGCGAGUCUGAAUAGGGCGCUAAGUCAGAUGCUGCAGACCCGAAACGAAGUGAUCUAUCCAUGAGCAGGUUGAAGCUAGUGUAAGAACUAGUGGAGGACCGAACCCGCUAGCGUUGAAAAGCUAUGGGAUGACUUGUGGAUAGGGGUGAAAGGCCAAUCAAACUUCGUGAUAGCUGGUUCUCUCCGAAAUAUAUUUAGGUAUAGCGUUGUGUCGUAACUAAAGGGGGUAGAGCACUGAAUGGGCUAGGGCAUACACCAAUGUACCAAACCCUAUCAAACUCCGAAUACCUUUAGUGUAAUCACAGCAGUCAGGCGGCGAGUGAUAAAAUCCGUCGUCAAGAGGGAAACAACCCAGACUAACAGCUAAGGUCCCCAAAUCUUACUUAAGUGGAAAACGAUGUGAAGUUACUUAAACAACCAGGAGGUUGGCUUAGAAGCAGCCAUCCUUUAAAGAAAGCGUAAUAGCUCACUGGUCUAGUGAUUUUGCGCGGAAAAUAUAACGGGGCUAAAGUAAGUACCGAAGCUUUAGACUUGCAUACAACUUAGAUGAUUUAAAUUUAGAAUAUGAGAAGCUAAAUUUAUUUUUAUUUAUUUUUGCUUAUCUUUAUUCAUUUUUAUAGAGUAAAGAUAAAAACAAAAACUUCGUAAAAAUAAUAAAAUUUAGUAAAAAACAAUAAAAAUAUUCUUAGAUUAAAAGUUAAGUCGUUUAAGUUGUGUGCAAGUGGUAGGAGAGCGUUCUAUUUGCGCCGAAGGUAUACCGACAAGGAGUGCUGGAGCGAAUAGAAGUGAGCAUGCAGGCAUGAGUAGCGAUAAUUAAUGUGAGAAUCAUUAACGCCGUAAACCCAAGGUUUCCUACGCGAUGCUCGUCAUCGUAGGGUUAGUCGGGUCCUAAGCUGAGUCCGAAAGGGGUAAGCGAUGGCAAAUAGGUUAAUAUUCCUAUACCAACAUUAGUGUGCGAUGGAAGGACGCUUAGGGCUAAGGGGGCUAGCGGAUGGAAGUGCUAGUCUAAGGUCGUAGGAGGUUAUACAGGCAAAUCCGUAUAACAAUACUCCGAGAACUGAAAGGC
RNAcentral lists this ribosomal RNA (1720 nucleotides) under Campylobacter upsaliensis. Its description in RNAcentral is "partial 23S ribosomal RNA". It matches the Rfam family "Bacterial large subunit ribosomal RNA", at positions 1 to 1571 of the family's 2925-position model. Lineage: Bacteria; Pseudomonadati; Campylobacterota; Epsilonproteobacteria; Campylobacterales; Campylobacteraceae. The record is from RNAcentral.